AUUGAACGCUGGCGGCAGGCCUAACACAUGCAAGUCGAGCGGAAACGAGUUAUCUGAACCUUCGGGGAACGAUAACGGCGUCGAGCGGCGGACGGGUGAGUAAUGCCUAGGAAAUUGCCCUGAUGUGGGGGAUAACCAUUGGAAACGAUGGCUAAUACCGCAUAAUGCCUACGGGCCAAAGAGGGGGAUCUUCGGACCUCUCGCGCUAAGAUUGGCCCAGGUGGGAUUAGCUAGUAGGUGGGGUAAAGGCUCACCUAGGCGACGAUCCCUAGCUGGUCUGAGAGGAUGAUCAGCCACACUGGAACUGAGACACGGUCCAGACUCCUACGGGAGGCAGCAGUGGGGAAUAUUGCACAAUGGGCGCAAGCCUGAUGCAGCCAUGCCGCGUGUGUGAAGAAGGCCUUCGGUUGUAAACUUUCAGUCGUGAGGAA
RNAcentral lists this ribosomal RNA (431 nucleotides) under uncultured bacterium. RNAcentral describes it as "bacterial SSU rRNA". It matches the Rfam family "Bacterial small subunit ribosomal RNA", at positions 30 to 449 of the family's 1533-position model. The record is from RNAcentral.